This 915-nucleotide ribosomal RNA is filed under the name Triticum aestivum (bread wheat). Its description in RNAcentral is "partial small subunit ribosomal RNA". The record is from RNAcentral. Lineage: Eukaryota; Viridiplantae; Streptophyta; Magnoliopsida; Poales; Poaceae.
AUGGCCACCUACUUCACGCUCAACACUGGGGCACGUAUCCCCUCGGUAGGCCUCGGCACCUACAAGUCCGGCCCCGGCGCCGUCGCCGGCGCUGUCACGGCCGCCGUCAAGGCCGGGUACCGGCACAUCGACUGCGCGCCGCUGUACAAGAACGAGAAGGAGAUUGGCGUCGCGUUGAACAAGCUCUUCGACGACGACGGCGUCAGACGACAGGACCUCUUCAUCACUUCGAAAAUAUGGUGCAGCGAUCUCGCGCCCGAAGACGUUCCGUCGGCAAUCGACGCCACUCUGAAUGAUCUGCAGCUGGAUUAUCUUGACCUGCACCUGAUUCACUGGCCCUUUCAGAUAAGGAAAGGCAGUGAGCUGAGCCCUGAUAACUUUGUCGAGCUCGAUAUGCCCGAGACCUGGCGGGCAAUGGAGAAGCUGUACGAUUCAGGCAAGGCCCGCGCAAUAGGUGUGAGCAAUUUUUCGACCAAGAAGCUGGCCGAUCUGCUUGCCGUGGCCCGUGUUCCUCCGGCUGUUGAUCAGGUGGAGUGCCACCCUGGUUGGCAGCAGGCCAAGCUCAGAGCAUUCUGCCACACCAAUGGAGUUCAUUUCUCUGCGUACGCGCCGCUAGGCAGGAUGAAAGUCGUCGCGGAUAACCCGGUGGUGACAUCGAUAGCAGAGAGCUUGGGGAGAACCCCGGCACAGAUCGUUCUGCGAUGGGGUAUCCAGCAGGGUCAGAGCGUGCUUCCGAAAACUACCAAUGAGUCGAGGUUGAAGGAGAACAUUGACCUGUUUGGCUGGUCCAUUCCUGACGAACUGUGUGACAAGUUUUCUAAAAUUGAACAGGUUAAGCGAAUCAGGAACGAAUCAUUGGUGGACUCUCAGAGUAUUUACAAAACAAUUGACGAGCUCUGGGAUGGUGAGAUAUAA